UAUAAUAACAAAAUUUACAAAUAUUGUUUUUGUACUAGGCCAACUGCAUACUUUCAUAAAUAGGCAACAUGGAUAGAAAAUAGAAAGAAGCUUCAUACUUUGAGUCUAACAAAACUGUAGGAGUUAUAUAUAGACACAUUUAUCCAAUGCUUCUGGUACCUGAAGCUGAGUUAAUGAGCUGCAGCCAUUUCAAUCAAAGCAUGAAGCAUCUAUUGACCCUCAUGCAGCUGAUCGAAAGGAAGUUCCUGUCUCGUCCAUCGCAUCUGCUCCACCACGUGUUGGUGUGUUUGUGUGAGGAGGAGAGAGAGCAGAGUCCUGCAGAGCUGGAAGAGCUAUUCCGCUCCAGUUAAAGCUGUCAGAUUAAUGAUCAAUCAUCCUCUCUGUUCUCCAAUUUAAUGCAACUCACAGACCUGCACCAAACACCAUUGAGAGACUAUAACACUUUUUAUUGACAGAUAAACAAUAAGCCACAGAGCUGUUGUGUGAAUACAUCUGCUUUUUUUGCUGAUAUGAUCUGCUUAAUUGAAAUGUUUGGAGCUUUGAUUUUCUUCUUAAUAGAAAUGUGACAGAAAUAAAACAGGCUUAGCAGCACAGUUAUACUUCAACAGAAAGAAAACAACCGUGGUUACAAAAAUAUCAAAAUA
Sebastes umbrosus (honeycomb rockfish) is the source of this 644-nucleotide long non-coding RNA. RefSeq lists it as uncharacterized. NCBI's taxonomy places the organism in Eukaryota, Metazoa, Chordata, Actinopteri, Perciformes, Sebastidae. The record is from RefSeq and is a predicted model, not a curated record. The transcript is spliced from 2 exons.